UUCAAACCAUAGCACCUGCUUAUAUAUUUUCUUUUGAAAGAGGAUGAUUUUUAAAUUGCAUCGCACCUGUUCAAAAGCUGAGAGGAAGCACGGAGACCACAUACUGGAGAUGGUGCCUGGUGCUGGGCUGGCUGAAUACAAAACCAGGGGAAAAAGAUGCGGUCACUGUCCUCACAGAACUGAAGGUCUAGCCAAGGAGACAAACAACUGAAAAAGCAAACUAAGUGUCCAGGCAAAGUAUACAGGGGUGCUUUGCUAGUGAGUACAUUGCAGCAAUAAUUAAUCUAGCAUAAGAAGGCUCAGAAAGAAAAUGACUUUAAAGCCAAGUUCAAAAAGAUGUGUAGGACUUUCCCAGAGAUAGAGCUGCUGGGAGUGGAGAGUAUGAGGUGUUCUAAGUACAGUUAAAGCAAAGGCCUGGAGGAAGGAAAUGUCCCACUGAAUGAAGUUCCUUGUCUUGUGUAGUGAGAGGCAAGGAGGGGUUAAGGAAGGAGGCUGAAGAGGAAGACAGACACAAGUAAAGAAGUGCCUGCUAAAACCUACCAAGAACCCUGAGUUUUAUUCCAACAGUGAUGGGAGAUGAUUGAAAGACUUUGAGAAGGGGAUUCAGAUUUUCACUUUAGAAGAUCCCUCUGGCUAUAAGUGAACAAUGGACUGAGGAAGGACAAGAUGGGGUGGAUCAACUCAUUCCAGGAAGUUAUUGCACAAAUAUGGACAAAAUGCACAAUUGCAUAGGCUGGCUGCUUUGGCACUGACAAGGGUGAACUCCACUCACUGGGACCUCCUGCACUGGGAUAAGGAGCAUGCAGGAGCUGGAAUGAGUGCUUUUGGGCACUGGCAGGAGUGAACUUUGUACUGGCCCUGUGGCAGCAUCUGGGGCUAGGGGGUGCCUGUGAUCUCCAAAGACCCAGAGGAAGUGUCACAGUACUCUUUUAGCUCUGCCAUUUGCAGGAAUAAAUUGAAGAUGGUAAAUGUGGGGGAUUUUAUUGCCCAUGAAAGUGGCUGUCAGCUGGAAGGGGAACUGAAAAGGGGAUAGAGUAGGAAGGUCCUCUUGUCCAGCCAUCUCUGGCCAGAUUCUUCUCUGAAGUUACACCAUCAAGCUGUCCCUCUGAAGUCAAGCUGCUUCUCUCUGACCAACUGUAGUCUCCAACGUCCAGUUUCUUCUCCCCUUUCUGCCAGCUGAGCCUGAGGUUUUUAUGGACACAGGAUGUGGGGCAAGGUGGGCAUGGGUGGUUUUGGAAAAGGCAAUAUUUAAGCAGGAAAACAGGGAUGUAAGUCCUCACUUUGGGCCACAGUUUCAGGCUUGAGGGUGGGGCUCUUGCCGGGGACCCACCCUCUUCUGCCCAUAAUUUCCCUGCCUCCUGUCCCUGUCACUUGGAGGUGGAAUGAACUAAAUUCAGUGGAGUGUGGUGAGGGGAGGGGAAUGAGUGAGAAGCAAGGAUCUAGGAUGACUCUCAGUUUCUGGGUGAACCAUUUUCUGAGAAAAUAUGCUUGAAGAGAAAAACAGAUUUGAAGGGAAGAUGAUGGGUUUUCAGCAGACUGGGCUGUUCAGACAGGAAUAAUACAGGGUGGUCACAGCAGUUUCACAUGACUAGAUGCUACGGGCUGAUAAGACCCUGAAAAACAGGAUGUGGGCCAAGCUGGCUAAGACUGACUGGAACCAACAUGGGCUGGAUUUGACCUAGGUUCCACCGAGAACCUCAUUAUAUGCUCAUUUACAUAAUUACCCAACCACCAGUGCCAUGACAGUUCCAGGAACACCCAUAUUUGGUGUAAAAAUGGGCGACUCCACAAUUCCAAGAAAUCUCCACUUUUUCCAGGAAUUUUCAUGAAUAUCCCAUCCCUUGGUUAAAUAAAUUCAUAAAGAAAGAUACCCUAAACCCCACUGGGUGACUCUGUCUUGAGUACAUCUACACUCUCCUUGCUUGAGUGUGUACUUUUCCCAUUACAAUAAAUCUCUGUACUUUCACUAUUUUCAGAUUUAUCCUUGAAUUCUUUCUUACAGUGGUGUUAAGGGCCUGGAAACUGGUUGGAGUCGAGGUCUCACCAGCAUUUGGACCUCCCCCAGCCCACCAGUAUCACUUUCACCAUAGAAUUAUCAUGGGACGAAAAACCAUGCAGGAUGGAAGGGUUUAGUCCCAGUAGAUACCCAGGACUUGAAUGGCCCAAUGAAUUUCAGAUGGAAUGAAAACCCAGUGGAUUUUUAAACUCAAUUAUAUUUGGUAAAACAUGACUGUAUGGGUUCUAAGAGAAAAGUGUUUGGUGGACUCUACAGUGAGAUUCUAGAAUUCAGGUCUCGUAUAAAUAAGAGAGCUUGGUUUUAUUUUAGCCUGUCCAAAAUCAUGCUGUGAAAAGUUUUGAUGAGGUAAGUGUAAAUAAAUCAGAAAACAUUGUAAAUGUUUACAUGAUCACUUGAAAAUGAAAAGAAAGAAUGUUUAGGACAAAGUACAUUCUUAGUUCUUUUGAACCAAAAAUAUUUCCACAAAGUAUAUAAAAUGUACAAAAACAGCCAAACUGAGGCCCAUCUGUCCUUAAUUAUAACAGAAUAACAUGAAAAGAAACCAAAAGACAUGACCCAACCUGCUUCCUUGAAUGGUAAUGAAAACCCAGUGAAACAUUCUUAUUUUCUGCUUUCUACCGCAGUGGGCAUCACAUUCUAAAGGGAUGAGAAAUACAGCAAUGUCGUUUAUUUCUUAAAGCAUGAUUGUUUUUGUAACAUGAUUUGUAACUGGGCUAAACUUGUAGAAUAAACUGGUACACUCUGACUCCACUUAGCUUCAGUUUUUAACUAAGCCUAGAAAAUAAGAGAGUGAAGCAUCACAUUGCUAUAAUUAGGGUCUCUAAAUAUGUAUGGUUUCAGAGAUACUAUAUCAUUAUACAGUAUGUACAAAGCUGGAAUAAAUACUAGGCUUUCUGAGCACAAUGCUUAUAAAACAACUAAUUGCAAUUUACCUUUGUUCUACUUGUGGGGUUUGUCUUAGUAUCUGCCAA
This 2988-nucleotide long non-coding RNA is filed under the name Homo sapiens (human). RNAcentral's name for it is "HSALNT0134511". Lineage: Eukaryota; Metazoa; Chordata; Mammalia; Primates; Hominidae. The record is from RNAcentral.